Molecule: long non-coding RNA, 144 nt
Organism: Nicotiana attenuata
Lineage: Eukaryota; Viridiplantae; Streptophyta; Magnoliopsida; Solanales; Solanaceae
Exons: 3
Source: RefSeq, a predicted model, not a curated record
AGUGAUUAACUUCAUUUCGAUAAAGGAAGAAGAUCUAUAUGAAAUUGACAUUCCAUUGAGAUUUACAUCUGCUGCUAGCACUAGAAUUCAUGGGCUGGCUUGCUGGUUUGAUGUACUUUUUAAUGGAAGCACUGUACCGAGGUG